GGCUAACAUUUAUUCAAAGGUAACCAUGUUGAAGACAAGUUAAUGGAUCUGCCUAAUUCUACUAUGGUCAUAGGAAAA
This is a non-coding RNA of Ceratotherium simum simum (southern white rhinoceros), 78 nucleotides long. The record is from RefSeq and is a predicted model, not a curated record. Lineage: Eukaryota; Metazoa; Chordata; Mammalia; Perissodactyla; Rhinocerotidae.